This 74-nucleotide transfer RNA is filed under the name Chloropicon sieburthii. RNAcentral describes it as "tRNA-Pro". It matches the Rfam family "tRNA". From Rfam's summary of the family: Transfer RNA (tRNA) molecules are approximately 80 nucleotides in length. Their secondary structure includes four short double-helical elements and three loops (D, anti-codon, and T loops). Further hydrogen bonds mediate the characteristic L-shaped molecular structure. tRNAs have two regions of fundamental functional importance: the anti-codon, which is responsible for specific mRNA codon recognition, and the 3' end, to which the tRNAs corresponding amino acid is attached (by aminoacyl-tRNA synthetases). tRNAs cope with the degeneracy of the genetic code in two manners: having more than one tRNA (with a specific anti-codon) for a particular amino acid; and 'wobble' base-pairing, i.e. permitting non-standard base-pairing at the 3rd anti-codon position. Lineage: Eukaryota; Viridiplantae; Chlorophyta; Chloropicophyceae; Chloropicales; Chloropicaceae. The record is from RNAcentral.
CAAGGUGUGGCGCAGCUUGGUAGCGCAUCUGUUUUGGGAACAGAAGGUCAUAGGUUCAAAUCCUAUCACCUUGA